Molecule: ribosomal RNA, 459 nt
Filed under: uncultured bacterium
Lineage: Bacteria
Description: bacterial SSU rRNA
Rfam family: Bacterial small subunit ribosomal RNA
Source: RNAcentral
UACGGGAGGCAGCAGUGGGGAAUAUUGCACAAUGGGCGAAAGCCUGAUGCAGCUAUGCCGCGUGUAUGAAGAAGGCCUUAGGGUUGUAAAGUACUUUCAUCGGGGAGGAAAAAACAAAACUAAUAAUUUUAUUUCUUGACGUUACCCGAAAAAGAAGCACCGGCUAACUCCGUGCCAGCAGCCGCGGUAAUACGGAGGGUGCUAGCGUUAAUCAGAAUUACUGGGCGUAAAGAGCACGUAGGUGGUUUUUUUAAAGUCAGAUGUGAAAUCCCCUGGGCUUAACCUAGGAAACUGCAUUUUGAAACUGAAAUACUAGAGUAUCGUAGAGGGAGGUAGAAUUCUAGGUGUAGCGGUGAAAUGCGUAGAUAUCUGGAGGAAUACCUGUGGCGAAAGCGGCCUCCUAAACGAAUACUGACACUGAGGUGCGAAAGCGUGGGGAGCAAACAGGGAUUAGAUACC